AGAGUUUGAUCCUGGCUCAGGACGAACGCUGGCGGCGUGCUUAACACAUGCAAGUCAAGGGGAAAGUUUCUCUCGGGAGACGAGUAUACUGGCGGACGGGUGAGUAACGCGUAGGCGACCUGCCCUCAGGUUUGGGAUAACACUGCUAACGCGGUGCUAAUACCGGAUAUGACUUAUCGGCCGCAUGGCUGAUGAGUUAAAGCGGGCGCAAGCUCGUGCCUGAGGAUGGACCUGCGUCCCAUUAGCUGGUUGGUGAGGUAACGGCUCACCAAGGCGUCGAUGGGUAGCCGACCUGAGAGGGUGAACGGCCACACUGGGACUGAGAUACGGCCCAGACUCCUACGGGAGGCAGCAGUGAGGAAUAUUGCGCAAUGGGCGAAAGCCUGACGCAGCAACGCCGCGUGUAGGAUGAAGCUCUUAGGAGUGUAAACUACUGUUUGAAGGGAAGAAUGAUCACAUUUCGAAUAGGGAUGUGAGAUGACGGUACCUUCAGAGGAAGCCCCGGCUAACUCCGUGCCAGCAGCCGCGGUAAUACGGGGGGGGCAAGCGUUGUCCGGAAUUAUUGGGCGUAAAGGGCGCGCAGGCGGGAAUUUAAGUCUGAGGUGAAAGUUUGCGGCUUAACCGUAGAAUAGCCUUGGAUACUGGAUUUCUUGAGUGCGGGAGAGGAAAGCGGAAUUCCUGGUGUAGCGGUGAAAUGCGUAGAUAUCAGGAAGAACACCGGUGGCGAAGGCGGCUUUCUGGCCCGUAACUGACGCUGAGGCGCGAAAGCGUGGGUAGCAAACAGGAUUAGAUACCCUGGUAGUCCACGCAGUAAACGAUGGAUACUAGGUGUCGGCCUUUCGGGGUCGGCGCCGGAGCAAACGCAUUAAGUAUCCCGCCUGGGGAGUACGACCGCAAGGUUGAAACUCAAAGGAAUUGACGGGGGCCCGCACAAGCGGUGGAGCAUGUGGUUUAAUUCGAUGCAACGCGAAGAACCUUACCUGGGCUUGAACUGCAGGAGAAGUUUCGUGAAAGCGGAACGUCCUUCGGGACUGCUGUAGAGGUGCUGCAUGGCUGUCGUCAGCUCGUGUCGUGAGAUGUUGGGUUAAGUCCCGCAACGAGCGCAACCCUUGUUCUUAGUUGCCAACGCGUAACGGCGGGAACUCUAGGAAGACUGCCCCGGCGAACGGGGAGGAAGGUGGGGACGACGUCAAGUCAUCAUGGCCCUUACGUCCAGGGCUACACACGUGCUACAAUGGCCGGUACAACGGGCAGCAAAGCUGUAAAGUUGAGCGAAUCCCUUAAAACCGGUCUCAGUUCGGAUUGCAGUCUGCAACUUGGCUGCAUGAAGUUGGAAUCGCUAGUAAUCGCGGAUCAGCAUGCCGCGGUGAAUACGUUCCCGGGCCUUGUACACACCGCCCGUCACGCCAUGGAAGUCGGUAGCGCCCGAAGCCGGCGGCCCAAUCCUGUAAAGGAAGGGAGCCGUCCAAGGCGAGAUCGAUGACUGGGGCGAAGUCGGAACAAGGUA
RNAcentral lists this ribosomal RNA (1507 nucleotides) under metagenome. RNAcentral's name for it is "bacterial SSU rRNA". It matches the Rfam family "Bacterial small subunit ribosomal RNA". The record is from RNAcentral.